GAUACGGCCCAGACUCCUACGGGAGGCAGCAGUGGGGAAUAUUGCACAAUGGGCGCAAGCCUGAUGCAGCGACGCCGCGUGAGGGAUGACGGCCUUCGGGUUGUAAACCUCUUUCAGUAGGGACGAAGCGAAAGUGACGGUACCUACAGAAGAAGGACCGGCCAACUACGUGCCAGCAGCCGCGGUAAUACGUAGGGUCCGAGCGUUGUCCGGAAUUACUGGGCGUAAAGAGCUCGUAGGUGGUUUGUCGCGUUGUUCGUGAAAACUCACAGCUUAACUGUGGGCGUGCGGGCGAUACGGGCAGACUAGAGUACUGCAGGGGAGACUGGAAUUCCUGGUGUAGCGGUGGAAUGCGCAGAUAUCAGGAGGAACACCGGUGGCGAAGGCGGGUCUCUGGGCAGUAACUGACGCUGAGGAGCGAAAGCGUGGGUAGCGAACAGGAUUAGAUACCCUGGUAGUCCACGCCGUAAA
This 471-nucleotide ribosomal RNA is filed under the name Mycobacteroides abscessus. RNAcentral describes it as "bacterial SSU rRNA". It matches the Rfam family "Bacterial small subunit ribosomal RNA", at positions 323 to 806 of the family's 1533-position model. Lineage: Bacteria; Bacillati; Actinomycetota; Actinomycetes; Mycobacteriales; Mycobacteriaceae. The record is from RNAcentral.